AGAGUCGGCCGGGCAGUCGCUGCCUCCGCCAGCGAUGGCGGGAGCGGAGGAAAGUCCGGGCUCCGGCGGAUCGGGUGCCAGGUAACGCCUGGGGGGCGUGAGCCCACGGAAAGUGCAACAGAGAGCAGACCGCCCAAGUCCCUCGCGGGACCGGCAAGGGUGAAACGGUGCGGUAAGAGCGCACCGCGUCGGUGGCAACACGCGACGGCACGGUAAACCCCACCUGGAGCAAGGCCAAAUAGGGAAGCCGCGCCGGUCCUUUAAAAGGGGCCGGCGCAGCGCUGAUCCGCGCGCGCUUCCGGG
Molecule: RNase P RNA, 303 nt
Filed under: Gammaproteobacteria bacterium
Lineage: Bacteria; Pseudomonadati; Pseudomonadota; Gammaproteobacteria
Description: partial RNase P RNA component class A
Rfam family: Bacterial RNase P class A
About the family: Ribonuclease P (RNase P) is a ubiquitous endoribonuclease, found in archaea, bacteria and eukarya as well as chloroplasts and mitochondria. Its best characterised activity is the generation of mature 5'-ends of tRNAs by cleaving the 5'-leader elements of precursor-tRNAs.
Source: RNAcentral